GUAGUCGUUAGCGGUAUCCGUAAGCUUUCACGUCGUGCCUUCCACUUUCUUCUGUCUGCCGGCUAGUGGACGUCGGGUGAGUAAGGUCUCACAACGUGCCCAGCAAUGGGGGAUACCAACCCGACAGUGGACCUCCUCCCGAUUUGCCCCAUCUGGGGAAAGCACGGGAUCUUCCCAAAUUGGCCUAUUAGAACGCCCGAUAUGGGAUUAUCCAGUUGGUGGAUGACCGCCCUCUUGGGGGGGCGAUCCGUAGCUGGGUUGUUAUGAUUACCUUCCCAGAUGGGGCUGAGACACUGGCCAUACUCCACGGGGGGGAAGCCGUGGGGAAUUUUGGACAAUGGGGGAAACCCUGAUCCAGCCAUCCCGCGUGUGCGAUGAAGGCCUUCGGGUUGUAAAUCACUUUUGGCAGGAAAGAAACGUCGCGGGAUAAUACCUCGCGAAUCUGACGGUUCCUGCCUAAUAAGCACCGGCUAACUAGGUGCCAGCAACCUCGGUAAUACGUACGGUGCAAGCGUUAAUCGGAAUUACUGGGCGUAAAACGUGCGCACGCAGUUCGCAAAGAAAGAUGUGAAAUCCCAUAACUUAACUUUGGAACUGCAUUUUUAACUACCGGGUUAGAAUGUGU
Molecule: ribosomal RNA, 625 nt
Filed under: Alcaligenes sp. HPC 923
Lineage: Bacteria; Pseudomonadati; Pseudomonadota; Betaproteobacteria; Burkholderiales; Alcaligenaceae
Description: bacterial SSU rRNA
Rfam family: Bacterial small subunit ribosomal RNA
Source: RNAcentral